This 1446-nucleotide ribosomal RNA is filed under the name uncultured organism. RNAcentral's name for it is "SSU rRNA". It matches the Rfam family "Bacterial small subunit ribosomal RNA". The record is from RNAcentral.
UUGCUACAGGCUUAACACAUGCAAGUCGAGGGGCAUCAGGAAGAAAGCUUGCUUUCUUUGCUGGCGACCGGCGCACGGGUGAGUAACACGUAUCCAACCUGCCCUUUACUCGGGGAUAGCCUUUCGAAAGAAAGAUUAAUACCCGAUAGCAUAAUGAUUCCGCAUGGUUUCAUUAUUAAAGGAUUCCGGUAAAGGAUGGGGAUGCGUUCCAUUAGGUUGUUGGUGAGGUAACGGCCCACCAAGCCUUCGAUGGAUAGGGGUUCUGAGAGGAAGGUCCCCCACAUUGGAACUGAGACACGGUCCAAACUCCUACGGGAGGCAGCAGUGAGGAAUAUUGGUCAAUGGGCGCUAGCCUGAACCAGCCAAGUAGCGUGAAGGAUGAAGGCUCUAUGGGUCGUAAACUUCUUUUAUAUAAGAAUAAAGUGCAGUAUGUAUACUGUUUUGUAUGUAUUAUAUGAAUAAGGAUCGGCUAACUCCGUGCCAGCAGCCGCGGUAAUACGGAGGAUCCGAGCGUUAUCCGGAUUUAUUGGGUUUAAAGGGAGCGUAGGUGGACUGGUAAGUCAGUUGUGAAAGUUUGCGGCUCAACCGUAAAAUUGCAGUUGAUACUGUCAGUCUUGAGUACAGUAGAGGUGGGCGGAAUUCGUGGUGUAGCGGUGAAAUGCUUAGAUAUCACGAAGAACUCCGAUUGCGAAGGCAGCUCACUGGACUGCAACUGACACUGAUGCUCGAAAGUGUGGGUAUCAAACAGGAUUAGAUACCCUGGUAGUCCACACAGUAAACGAUGAAUACUCGCUGUUUGCGAUAUACAGUAAGCGGCCAAGCGAAAGCAUUAAGUAUUCCACCUGGGGAGUACGCCGGCAACGGUGAAACUCAAAGGAAUUGACGGGGGCCCGCACAAGCGGAGGAACAUGUGGUUUAAUUCGAUGAUACGCGAGGAACCUUACCCGGGCUUAAAUUGCAGUGGAAUGAUGUGGAAACAUGUCAGUGAGCAAUCACCGCUGUGAAGGUGCUGCAUGGUUGUCGUCAGCUCGUGCCGUGAGGUGUCGGCUUAAGUGCCAUAACGAGCGCAACCCUUAUCUUUAGUUACUAACAGGUUAUGCUGAGGACUCUAGAGAGACUGCCGUCGUAAGAUGUGAGGAAGGUGGGGAUGACGUCAAAUCAGCACGGCCCUUACGUCCGGGGCUACACACGUGUUACAAUGGGGGGUACAGAAGGCAGCUAGCGGGUGACCGUAUGCUAAUCCCAAAAUCCUCUCUCAGUUCGGAUCGAAGUCUGCAACCCGACUUCGUGAAGCUGGAUUCGCUAGUAAUCGCGCAUCAGCCACGGCGCGGUGAAUACGUUCCCGGGCCUUGUACACACCGCCCAUCAAGCCAUGGGAGCCGGGGGUACCUGAAGUACGUAACCGCAAGGAUCGUCCUAGGGUAAAACUGGUGACUGGGGCUAAGU